CCUACGGGAGGCAGCAGUGGGGAAUAUUGGACAAUGGGCGAAAGCCUGAUCCAGCCAUGCCGCGUGUGUGAAGAAGGCCUUCGGGUUGUAAAGCACUUUCAGUGGGGAAGAAAGCCUUGGGGCUAAUACCCUCGAGGAAGGACAUCACCCACAGAAGAAGCACCGGCUAACUCCGUGCCAGCAGCCGCGGUAAUACGGAGGGUGCGAGCGUUAAUCGGAAUUACUGGGCGUAAAGCGCGCGUAGGCGGUCUGAUAAGCCGGUUGUGAAAGCCCCGGGCUCAACGUGGGAACGGCAUCCGGAACUGUCAGGCUAGAGUGCAGGAGAGGAAGGUAGAAUUCCCGGUGUAGCGGUGAAAUGCGUAGAGAUCGGGAGGAAUACCAGUGGCGAAGGCGGCCUUCUGGACUGACACUGACGCUGAGGUGCGAAAGCGUGGGUAGCAAACAGGAUUAGAUACCCGUGUAGUC
This 465-nucleotide ribosomal RNA is filed under the name Vreelandella stevensii. RNAcentral's name for it is "partial 16S ribosomal RNA". It matches the Rfam family "Bacterial small subunit ribosomal RNA", at positions 338 to 795 of the family's 1533-position model. The record is from RNAcentral. Lineage: Bacteria; Pseudomonadati; Pseudomonadota; Gammaproteobacteria; Oceanospirillales; Halomonadaceae.